Molecule: ribosomal RNA, 499 nt
Filed under: uncultured Lachnospiraceae bacterium
Lineage: Bacteria; Bacillati; Bacillota; Clostridia; Lachnospirales; Lachnospiraceae
Description: partial 16S ribosomal RNA
Source: RNAcentral
CACGUAGUUAGCCGGGGCUUCUUAGUCAGGUACCGUCAUUUUCUUCCCUGCUGAUAGAGCUUUACAUACCGAAAUACUUCUUCACUCACGCGGCGUCGCUGCAUCAGGGUUCCCCCCAUUGUGCAAUAUUCCCCACUGCUGCCUCCCGUAGGAGUUUGGGCCGUGUCUCAGUCCCAAUGUGGCCGGUCACCCUCUCAGGUCGGCUACUGAUCGUCGGCUUGGUGGGCCGUUACCCCGCCAACUACCUAAUCAGACGCGGGUCCAUCCUGUACCACCGGAGUUUUUCACACCGGACCAUGCGAUCCUGUGCGCUUAUGCGGUAUUAGCAGUCAUUUCUAACUGUUGUCCCCCUGUACAGGGCAGGUUACCCACGCGUUACUCACCCGUCCGCCACUCAGUCAUCCCGGAUUCCAUCCGAAAACUUCCUCCGGCACGCUUCGUUCGACUUGCAUGUGUUAGGCACGCCGCCAGCGUUCAUCCUGAGCCAGGAUCAAACUCU